GCAUUGGUGGUUCAGUGGUAGAAUCCUCGCCUGCCACGCGGGGGGCCAGGGUUCGAUUCCCGGCCAAUGCA
This is a non-coding RNA of Ciona savignyi (Pacific transparent sea squirt), 71 nucleotides long. The record is from Rfam. NCBI's taxonomy places the organism in Eukaryota, Metazoa, Chordata, Ascidiacea, Phlebobranchia, Cionidae.